GACGAACGCUGGCGGCGUGCUUAACACAUGCAAGUCGAACGGAAAGGCCUCUUUCGGGGGGUACUCGAGUGGCGAACGGGUGAGUAACACGUGAGUAACCUGCCCUUGACUUUGGGAUAACUUCAGGAAACUGGGGCUAAUACCGGAUAGGAGCUCCUGCUGCAUGGUGGGGGUUGGAAAGUUUCGGCGGUUGGGGAUGGACUCGCGGCUUAUCAGCUUGUUGGUGGGGUAGUGGCUUACCAAGGCUUUGACGGGUAGCCGGCCUGAGAGGGUGACCGGCCACAUUGGGACUGAGAUACGGCCCAGACUCCUACGGGAGGCAGCAGUGGGGAAUAUUGCACAAGGGGUGGAAGCCGGAUGCAGCAACGCCGUGGGCGGGAGGACGGCCUUCGGGUUGUAAACCGCUUUCGCUCAUGACGAAGCUUUGUGUGACGGUAGUGGGUAAAGAAGCACCGGCUAACUACGUG
RNAcentral lists this ribosomal RNA (467 nucleotides) under uncultured bacterium. Its description in RNAcentral is "partial 16S ribosomal RNA". It matches the Rfam family "Bacterial small subunit ribosomal RNA", at positions 28 to 507 of the family's 1533-position model. The record is from RNAcentral.